This is a small nucleolar RNA of Cavia aperea (Brazilian guinea pig), 130 nucleotides long. The record is from Ensembl. NCBI's taxonomy places the organism in Eukaryota, Metazoa, Chordata, Mammalia, Rodentia, Caviidae.
CUUGAGGUCUGACCUGAUGGGAGCUUCUCCUGUGACUGCACACUGUUGGAAACACCUCAUAGAGUAACACUGGUUUUGUUGUGCUCGCCAAGUCUAUUUCUUAGACCUCUGACAAGACAGCAUGAGGACC